This 1056-nucleotide long non-coding RNA is filed under the name Equus asinus (donkey). Its description in RNAcentral is "lncRNA (ENSEASG00005037685.1, ENSEASG00020010100.1)". Lineage: Eukaryota; Metazoa; Chordata; Mammalia; Perissodactyla; Equidae. The record is from RNAcentral.
UGCUGCAUCAUGAUGUCCCCAAUCCCAGAACCCCAGACUUGCAAGGGGCCCCAAAGUCUUCUCCACUGGAGAAAGCUUGUCCAGAGGCCUCCCCACUCUCCUGUUGGCUGGGGCCCCUUUAGGGAGGCCAAGGGAGAAGAGUGAGCCCACCCAGAGGGGGAGCCUGAGGGACGUCUCUCGAACCACAGUCAUCCAGACUCCUCUGCAGCUGCCAGGGUCCUGGGCACUGUGCCCAUUUUGAACACUCGAGAGGAGCCUUUAUCAGGCAUGGGAAGGAUGGGGGAGGGCAGGAGCCUGGAAGGUCGGCAUCACCUGUCCUGCCUGUGGGACAUGGGCCCCUCCCAGCAGGGGCUUCUGCCUGCUCUGGUCGACCUCACCCAGGCCACAGGCAGGUCCUCCCCGGGGGGCCAGAGCUGCAGACCUUCCACAGACCAAACCCCAGCACAGCCGGCACCGUGUGCACGGGACGGCACCUAACAGAAUGAGAGUUCUGGCCUCCUCGACGUACACACAGGGAAACUGAGGCUGGCAGAAGGAUAGACUUGCCGGGACUCCCCGAGGAGGAUGUCAGAGCCAUGACUUGGAGGAUGGAAGAAGUCACAAGAGAAGGUCACACCCACCUGACAAGAACAACCUUCAAAACCAUAAUCUUGGAGCCUCUGGGUCACACACAGUCACCCCUUUGGCUGAGUGAAGCCGACCGGCAUUUCAUGGAUCGGGGAGCAUCUACAGUCAGUGACUUCAGUGAAGGAGAUGACCCCCAUGACAGGGGUGGGCCUCAUCCAAUCAAGCGAAGGCCUCAAGAGCCAGACAGGUUACCGGAGAAAGAGGAAUUCUGCCUGUGGAUGGCAGCAUGGCUCCUGCCCAAGAGGGUCCAGCCUGCUGACCUGCCUUAUAGAUCUGUGAAUUUUGGACUCCCCAGCCAGCCCCCAAAUCUCCUUACAUGUGUAUCUAAUGUCCUGUUGGUUCCAUCUCUCUGUGGAGCCCUCACUGAUACAAUGGGGCCGGAAGGACAGGAUGUGGGCCCCCUUCCUUGCAAGAGCCCAGAGAGCUUCG